Molecule: transfer-messenger RNA, 398 nt
Filed under: Bacteroidaceae bacterium
Lineage: Bacteria; Pseudomonadati; Bacteroidota; Bacteroidia; Bacteroidales; Bacteroidaceae
Rfam family: transfer-messenger RNA
About the family: Bacterial tmRNA, also known as 10Sa RNA or SsrA, is named for its dual tRNA and mRNA-like properties. Its role is to liberate the mRNA from a stalled ribosome.
Source: RNAcentral
GGGGUUGACUGGAUUUGACAGCGGGCCGAGAUGGUGUGUAAGCAUGCAGUGCGUUGCUUGGUUAGCACUUAAAUAUCAAUCAUGCAAAGAAUUAAUUGGCGAAAACAAUUACGCUCUCGCUGCUUAAUCGAAGUAUAGUAGAUAAGCUUUAUUUCGGCACAAGGUGCUGAAACGAGACAUCACCCGAACGCUGUUUUUCCGAAGCUCGUCGAUAUGGUGGUGCAGCAAAAUCGGAGAUAGCUGUUGACGGCCUCGCGCCAUAGGCGAAGAUUUAGAGGAUAAGGUGCAAGUUGGUGGCUUUGGUCUUGCUUGCGCACGAAAACCGAAGGCAAAGAUAAGCAUGUAGAAAGCACAUGAUUUCCUCGUUUGGACGAGGGUUCGAUUCCCUCCAGCUCCAC